This 425-nucleotide ribosomal RNA is filed under the name uncultured bacterium. Its description in RNAcentral is "partial 16S ribosomal RNA". It matches the Rfam family "Bacterial small subunit ribosomal RNA", at positions 354 to 796 of the family's 1533-position model. The record is from RNAcentral.
GUUAGGAAUAUUGGACAAUGGGCGCAAGCCUGAUCCAGCCAUGCCGCGUGAGUGAUGAAGGCCUUCGGGUUGUAAAGCUCUUUAGUCCACGAAUAUAAUGACUUUAGUGGAAGAAUAAGCCCCGGCUAACUUCGAGCCAGCAGCCGCGGUAAUACGAAGGGGGCGAGCGUUAUUCGGAAUCACUUGGCUUAAAGCGUGCGUAGGCUGUUUUGUAAGUCAGAAGUGAAGGCCCAGGGCUUAACCCUGGAAUUGCUUUUGAAACUACAAGACUCGAAUGCGAGAGAGGAUAGCGGAAUUGUCAGUGUAGCAGUGAAAUGCGUAGAUAUUGACAGGAACACCAGUGGCGCAAGCGGCUAUCUGGACCGAUAUUGACGCUGAGGCACGAAAGCGUGGGGAGCAAACAGGAUUAGAUACCCCUGUAGUCC